CGCUCAUCGCAACGUAAGCACUUGGAUUUGGACAUUUAUCUAACUUCAUUGUAUCCACUUGAAAUUCUUUUGGCACCCGUCGCCAAUUUUGCGCAUCGAAGUAGUAAUACGUGCCACGUUCCGUUGUGCCAUUCUUCUCGUACGGUGUCAUGCCCGGCACACGGGUGAUCCACACCUUCUCCUCCGUGUGGUAUCGCCAAUCUCGACUAUGUCUGCAAGAGCGCAGCUCGUGCCAUCCCAAUGAUUACUAAACCGAACACAAGUUAGCAGCACAUUAUCUCACCGAUCGAUAUACAGUACUAUGUAGUACCAUUACAGUACCAUUUUUUAAAAUCGUUUAAAUCAGCAGCGUGCUUCGUGACUCCACAAGUAUCAAAAAUUUUGAAAGAAAUAAUAUUAACCACAAGAUUUAAAAAGAAUCUUUAUUUGCAUAUAGAAUGAAUUUCUAUUAUUUCGAUCACCACUGUAAAUAGGAUAAACGCAAAUAACUGCUGUCAAACUUUUCUAUCAAAUCAUAAACAUUUGAAAAUAUUCUCUAAAAGGAACGCAUAAUGAAUAACUACGACAAGCAACUGCAUAAAGCGAUGGAUCAAAUUCAAAGAAUGACUAAUCGAGCCUUGGAACUGCGAGUUGCAAUCGGCGAACUGACAACCCAACUGGUGCUGGCAAACAGAGUCGAAUACCUGGAGGAAAUUCAUCGUUUCCGAGAGUCUCAACGGCUGGCUGACAGCCCGGCGCCCUUCAGUAAACCCCGAGCCCCAGGAGUUGAUGACCAACUUAAAUAAUAUCCAAUCAACCAUUUGAAAGAAAGUAAAGAAUAAAGACGACCGGAUAGAAUUUUACUGAAUCAGAAAAUUGUUUAAUUUUUUCAUUUUUUCCAUCUGCUUCUUGUUUUUCUGCAUUUUUUUCCUUUUUAAUUACAAAUUAAUAAAUAUUAUACAGGCUGUCCGCUCAUCGCAACGUAAGCACUUGGAUUUGGACAUUUAUCUAACUUCAUUGUAUCCACUUGAAAUUCUUUUGGCACCCGUCGCCAAUUUUGCGCAUCGAAGUAGUAAUACGUGCCACGUUCCGUUGUGCCAUUCUUCUCGUACGGUGUCAUGCCCGGCACACGGGUGAUCCACACCUUCUCCUCCGUGUGGUAUCGCCAAUCUCGA
Long non-coding RNA from Uranotaenia lowii, 1154 nucleotides. RefSeq lists it as uncharacterized. The transcript has 3 exons. The record is from RefSeq and is a predicted model, not a curated record. NCBI's taxonomy places the organism in Eukaryota, Metazoa, Arthropoda, Insecta, Diptera, Culicidae.